This 426-nucleotide long non-coding RNA is filed under the name Piliocolobus tephrosceles (Ugandan red Colobus). RNAcentral's name for it is "lncRNA (ENSPTEG00000002199.1)". Lineage: Eukaryota; Metazoa; Chordata; Mammalia; Primates; Cercopithecidae. The record is from RNAcentral.
AUAGGAUUAAGAAUUGUAAAAAAUUAUAUUAUUUAUGAUGGUACGUUUAAAAUGGAAAAAAUACAAAAAGAAAAAAAAAAAAUGUACUGUUUUUAUUUGUUAUACUAUCCAUUUAUUCUUGUUAUUUUUUUCUGUUUAUCAUUCUUUGAAUUCUUUCUUUUAAUAAUUAAAUAUUUUUAUGUACAUUUUAAUUUUAACAGAAGAUUUGAAUCUAUUUAAUUGUUUAGAAAUAUACCAACAAAUUUUUAAAAGUACCAUAGAAAAUAUAUUUUCGGACAAUUUGCAAUUAUUUGAGUUAUCUAGAGAUAUAUUAAAUUUUUUUUGGUUUUCACAAAAUGAUGAAUUAAAAAAAAAUCAUUUGAAAUCUCACUUAACCAUUUAACAGCUUUAUACUCAUCAAAUAAACACAUAAUGAGUGUUAAAACA